RNAcentral lists this ribosomal RNA (282 nucleotides) under uncultured bacterium. Its description in RNAcentral is "partial 16S ribosomal RNA". It matches the Rfam family "Bacterial small subunit ribosomal RNA", at positions 371 to 655 of the family's 1533-position model. The record is from RNAcentral.
GCAGGGGGAAACCUGAUUUGCCUGCCGGUGUGUGAAGAGGCCUCAUGGUGUAAAGCACUUAAGCGAGAGGAGGCUACUGAUACUAUACUCUGGAUAGUGACGUUACUCGCAGAAUAAGCGCCGGCUAACUCUGUGCCAGCAGCCGCGGUAAUACAGAGGGUGCGAGCGUAAUCGGAUUUACUGGGCGUAAAGCGUGCGUAGGCGGCUUUUUAAGUCGGAUGUGAAAUCCCCGAGCUUAACUUGGGAAUUGCAUUCGAUACUGGGAAGCUAGAGUAUGGGAGA